CCUACGGGAGGCAGCAGUGGGGAAUUUUGGACAAUGGGCGAAAGCCUGAUCCAGCAAUGCCGCGUGAGUGAAGAAGGCCUUCGGGUUGUAAAGCUCUUUUGUCAGGGAAGAAACGGUGAGAGCUAAUAUCUCUUGCUAAUGACGGUACCUGAAGAAUAAGCACCGGCUAACUACGUGCCAGCAGCCGCGGUAAUACGUAGGGUGCAAGCGUUAAUCGGAAUUACUGGGCGUAAAGCGUGCGCAGGCGGUUUUGUAAGUCUGAUGUGAAAUCCCCGGGCUCAACCUGGGAAUUGCAUUGGAGACUGCAAGGCUAGAAUCUGGCAGAGGGGGGUAGAAUUCCACGUGUAGCAGUGAAAUGCGUAGAUAUGUGGAGGAACACCGAUGGCGAAGGCAGCCCCCUGGGUCAAGAUUGACGCUCAUGCACGAAAGCGUGGGGAGCAAACAGGAUUAGAUACCCUGGUAGUCCACGCCCUAAACGAUGUCUACUAGUUGUCGGGUCUUAAUUGACUUGGUAACGCAGCUAACGCGUGAAGUAGACCGCCUGGGGAGUACGGUCGCAAGAUUAAAACUCAAAGAUUAGUAGACGNGAGAGAGCGACGACGACGACGAGGAGGAGGAGG
Molecule: ribosomal RNA, 620 nt
Filed under: uncultured bacterium
Lineage: Bacteria
Description: bacterial SSU rRNA
Rfam family: Bacterial small subunit ribosomal RNA
Source: RNAcentral